Molecule: long non-coding RNA, 234 nt
Filed under: Panax ginseng (ginseng)
Lineage: Eukaryota; Viridiplantae; Streptophyta; Magnoliopsida; Apiales; Araliaceae
Description: long non-coding RNA (PGIN_LNC008147)
Source: RNAcentral
UUUGCUCAAGUGUUGGUGAAUUUUGUGAAGGAAAACUAGCACAUGAGCUUCUAUUUAUAGAAAAGGCAAGUGUUGGGGUAAUUUAGUCUUUAAGACAACUUUGCAUUAGGUUACAAUUUGGUCACUUAGCUUAGGGUCUCUUGUGGUCAACAUCCUCAUCUUUCAAAUCUUACUAAUCAUCCCCUCACCUACCUCCUCUUAAACUCAACCAUGGUUGAAGUAUCAUCAUUAACU